Pseudonaja textilis is the source of this 151-nucleotide non-coding RNA. The record is from RefSeq and is a predicted model, not a curated record. Lineage: Eukaryota; Metazoa; Chordata; Lepidosauria; Squamata; Elapidae.
CCAAAUUGUUCUAUAUUUUUGGAUCUCCCAGCAGAUGCUGGCUUAUUUUUAAGAUUAAGAUCUAUAGAGACCUUUGUUCACACAUCGUUUGCACCUGGCCAGGGCUCUCAUGAGCAAGUUUGAACUCCACUUUUCUUUUUAAAGGCAACUU